Molecule: ribosomal RNA, 499 nt
Filed under: uncultured bacterium
Lineage: Bacteria
Description: partial 16S ribosomal RNA
Rfam family: Bacterial small subunit ribosomal RNA
Source: RNAcentral
ACUCAAAGGAAUAGACGGGGGCCCGCACAAGCGGUGGAGUAUGUGGUUUAAUUCGACGCAACGCGCAGAACCUUACCCAGGCUUGACAUCCCCGAAACCUGGCCGAAAAGCCGGGGUGCUCGCAAGAGAAUCGGGUGACAGGUGCUGCAUGGCUGUCGUCAGCUCGUGUCGUGAGAUGUUGGGUUAAGUCCCGCAACGAGCGCAACCCUCGUCUUUAGUUGCCAUCAUUGAGUUGGGCACUCUAGAGAGACUGCCGGUGUUAAACCGGAGGAAGGUGGGGAUGACGUCAAGUCCUCAUGGCCCUUACGUCUGGGGCUACACACGUACUACAAUGGCCGUUACAAUCCGUUGCGAGACCGCGAGGUGGAGCCAAUCGGAAAAAAACGGCCUCAGUUCAGAUUGCAGUCUGCAACUCGACUGCAUGAAGGUGGAAUCGCUAGUAAUCGCAGAUCAGCAAGCUGCGGUGAAUACGUUCCCGGGCCUUGUACACACCGCCCGU